UACGUAGGGGGCUAGCGUUGUCCGGAUUUAUUGGGCGUAAAGAGCGCGUAGGCGGCCAUGUAGGUCCGGUGUGAAAACUCGAGGCUUAACCUCGAGAUGUCAUCGGAAACCAUUUGGCUAGAGUCCGGAAGAGGAGAGUGGAAUUCCUGGUGUAGCGGUGAAAUGCGCAGAUAUCAGGAAGAACACCAAUGGCGAAAGCAGCUCUCUGGGACGGUACUGACGCUGAGACGCGAAAGCGUGGGGAGCGAACAGG
Molecule: ribosomal RNA, 253 nt
Filed under: uncultured bacterium
Lineage: Bacteria
Description: partial 16S ribosomal RNA
Rfam family: Bacterial small subunit ribosomal RNA
Source: RNAcentral